Esox lucius (northern pike) is the source of this 676-nucleotide long non-coding RNA. The record is from Ensembl. NCBI's taxonomy places the organism in Eukaryota, Metazoa, Chordata, Actinopteri, Esociformes, Esocidae.
GUGGCGCUGCUGCUCACCUAACCUUGACACUAGCUCUUUGCACGUGCAACUCCGCAGACUUUCAAAUUAUUAUUAAUUAUUAUUAACAUCAGAGAUUGUUGUAUCCAACCAGCGGUGACACAUAUUGCAGCUUAUGGGCCAGCGAGCGACAUCCAGUGUAAAGGUCCCCCGAUACCAUCAGCCCUGUCUACUUAAAGAGGAACACUUUCCAGUAAUACCAACUGACCCAGGGCAAGGAAUAGGGGUGCAGCCAUGGAGGACGGCAAGAGGAAAAGUUUGGUUUGGCAGCUCACUCUCUCCGCUGCCAAACUGUUCCAGAUUGCCUAAAUCGAUCGUUCCAGUGCCAGGAAUGGACCCGUCUUGUUUCAAGUUGGGGGAUGAGGAGAUCUGUUUUGAGUACAUCAGCAGUUUUAUGUACAGUAAGCCCUUAUUAGGGGGCUAGUCUGAGGAUACAGUCUUGUUUUGGAGAGGCCACUGCUAGGGUUUAACGUGCUGGAAGAGAUGAUGCAAGAACACCCUGAAAAGCUGACUCCCAUUGACCCAUUUGUGAAUAUUAUUGUAAAAUGUAAACAACAUGGGUAGUAAUUAAUGGAUAAUUAACAUUUAUUAAAGGCAUUUGUGACCCCUAUUGUAAAGUGUACUUCAUUAAUUAUUAAUGGAGAACCAACUACAGGAC